UGACCUCUGACCUCAAAUCAUGUAGGACUACCCGUGAAACUUAAGCAUAUCAAUAAGCGGAGGA
This 64-nucleotide ribosomal RNA is filed under the name Ganoderma resinaceum. RNAcentral's name for it is "partial 25S ribosomal RNA". Lineage: Eukaryota; Fungi; Basidiomycota; Agaricomycetes; Polyporales; Polyporaceae. The record is from RNAcentral.